RNAcentral lists this ribosomal RNA (254 nucleotides) under uncultured bacterium. RNAcentral describes it as "partial 16S ribosomal RNA". It matches the Rfam family "Bacterial small subunit ribosomal RNA", at positions 524 to 776 of the family's 1533-position model. The record is from RNAcentral.
UACGUAGGGCGCGAGCGUUGUCCGGAAUUAUUGGGCGUAAAGAGCUCGUAGGCGGUGUGUCACGUCGGCCGUGAAAACCUGCAGCUUAACUGUGGGCGUGCGGUCGAUACGGGCAUCACUGGAGUUCGGCAGGGGAGACUGGAAUUCCUGGUGUAGCGGUGAAAUGCGCAGAUAUCAGGAGGAACACCGGUGGCGAAGGCGGGUCUCUGGGCCGAUACUGACGCUGAGGAGCGAAAGCGUGGGGAGCAAACAGG